AACGAACGCUGGCGGCAUGCCUAACACAUGCAAGUCGAACGAGACCCUCGGGUCUAGUGGCGCACGGGUGCGUAACGCGUGGGAACCUGCCUUUAGGUUCGGAAUAACUCAGAGAAAUUUGAGCUAAUACCGGAUGAUGUCUUCGGACCAAAGAUUUAUCGCCUUUAGAUGGGCCCGCGUUGGAUUAGCUAGUUGGUGGGGUAAAGGCCUACCAAGGCGACGAUCCAUAGCUGGUCUGAGAGGAUGAUCAGCCACACUGGGACUGAGACACGGCCCAGACUCCUACGGGAGGCAGCAGUGGGGAAUAUUGGAAAAUGGGCGAAAGCAUGAUCCAGCAAUGCCGCGUGAGUGAUGAAGGCCUUAGGGUUGUAAAGCUCUUUUACCCGAGAUGAUAAUGACAGUAUCGGGAGAAUAAGCUCCGGCUAACUCCGUG
Molecule: ribosomal RNA, 433 nt
Filed under: uncultured bacterium
Lineage: Bacteria
Description: partial 16S ribosomal RNA
Rfam family: Bacterial small subunit ribosomal RNA
Source: RNAcentral